This is a long non-coding RNA of Cryptomeria japonica (Japanese cedar), 369 nucleotides long. RefSeq lists it as uncharacterized. NCBI's taxonomy places the organism in Eukaryota, Viridiplantae, Streptophyta, Pinopsida, Cupressales, Cupressaceae. The transcript is spliced from 3 exons. The record is from RefSeq and is a predicted model, not a curated record.
GAAAAGAAAAAUAUUGGAAUGAAGAUUUUGGGGAUUUUGGCAAGGAUGAGCUGCAGGUUGGGGGCUCUUCUUCGAAUCUUCCAGGAAAGCUUCUCAGGUUUCAUCCAUACAGGCUCUGCAAAAGGUUGUACGAGUUUUUGUGACAUAUAGGAUGAGUUCUAAGAUUUGUCAUUCUGCUAUGUGGUAUACUUGAAGUUGGGAGAUGAAGGGCUGAAGACCGGAAGGAAGCUGAAAUAGAGCUGAAGAUAGAGAUCAUCCUCAACCUUGAACAUGCAAUGAAGGAUAUAACAUUUCAUUAUAUGUUUGCCUCUUCUUAUCUUCAAUUGUAUAUCAAUUUUUUCUAUGAAUGCUCAAUGUGGUUCAAUCAUU